AUACUCUGGUUUCUCUUCAGAUCGUAUAAAUCUUUCGCCUUUUACUAAAGGUUUCCGUGGAGAGAAACGACUCUGAGUCAUUAGCUAACUUUUUGAGACCUUGCUUGUGCAGGGUC
Molecule: small nuclear RNA, 116 nt
Organism: Echinops telfairi (small Madagascar hedgehog)
Lineage: Eukaryota; Metazoa; Chordata; Mammalia; Afrosoricida; Tenrecidae
Product: U5 spliceosomal RNA
Exons: 1
Source: RefSeq, a predicted model, not a curated record